RNAcentral lists this unclassified non-coding RNA (253 nucleotides) under uncultured Verrucomicrobiota bacterium. Its description in RNAcentral is "uncultured Verrucomicrobia bacterium contains 16S-23S intergenic spacer region". It matches the Rfam family "Bacterial small subunit ribosomal RNA", at positions 524 to 776 of the family's 1533-position model. The record is from RNAcentral. Lineage: Bacteria; Pseudomonadati; Verrucomicrobiota.
UACAGAGGUCCCAAGCGUUGUUCGGAUUCAUUGGGCGUAAAGGGUGCGUAGGCGGUCGCCUAAGUCAGGUGUGAAAUCUCGGAGCUCAACUCCGAAACUGCACUUGAUACUGGGUGACUAGAGUACUGGAGGGGAGACUGGAAUUUACGGUGUAGCAGUGAAAUGCGUAGAUAUCGUAAGGAAGACCAGUGGCGAAGGCGAGUCUCUGGACAGUUACUGACGCUGAGGCACGAAGGCUAGGGGAGCAAACGGG